This 640-nucleotide ribosomal RNA is filed under the name Rhizobium leguminosarum bv. viciae. Its description in RNAcentral is "bacterial SSU rRNA". It matches the Rfam family "Bacterial small subunit ribosomal RNA", at positions 110 to 786 of the family's 1533-position model. Lineage: Bacteria; Pseudomonadati; Pseudomonadota; Alphaproteobacteria; Hyphomicrobiales; Rhizobiaceae. The record is from RNAcentral.
GUAACGCGUGGGAUCUACCCUUGACUACGGAAUAACGCAGGGAAACUUGUGCUAAUACCGUAUGUGUCCUUCGGGAGAAAGAUUUAUCGGUCAAGGAUGAGCCCGCGUUGGAUUAGCUAGUUGGUGGGGUAAAGGCCUACCAAGGCGACGAUCCAUAGCUGGUCUGAGAGGAUGAUCAGCCACAUUGGGACUGAGACACGGCCCAAACUCCUACGGGAGGCAGCAGUGGGGAAUAUUGGACAAUGGGCGCAAGCCUGAUCCAGCCAUGCCGCGUGAGUGAUGAAGGCCCUAGGGUUGUAAAGCUCUUUCACCGGAGAAGAUAAUGACGGUAUCCGGAGAAGAAGCCCCGGCUAACUUCGUGCCAGCAGCCGCGGUAAUACGAAGGGGGCUAGCGUUGUUCGGAAUUACUGGGCGUAAAGCGCACGUAGGCGGAUCGAUCAGUCAGGGGUGAAAUCCCAGGGCUCAACCCUGGAACUGCCUUUGAUACUGUCGAUCUGGAGUAUGGAAGAGGUGAGUGGAAUUCCGAGUGUAGAGGUGAAAUUCGUAGAUAUUCGGAGGAACACCAGUGGCGAAGGCGGCUCACUGGUCCAUUACUGACGCUGAGGUGCGAAAGCGUGGGGAGCAAACAGGAUUAGAUACC